This 64-nucleotide transfer RNA is filed under the name Mus musculus (house mouse). It matches the Rfam family "tRNA", at positions 5 to 66 of the family's 71-position model. Rfam says of the family: Transfer RNA (tRNA) molecules are approximately 80 nucleotides in length. Their secondary structure includes four short double-helical elements and three loops (D, anti-codon, and T loops). Lineage: Eukaryota; Metazoa; Chordata; Mammalia; Rodentia; Muridae. The record is from Rfam by way of RNAcentral. RNAcentral also lists the same sequence under 1 other name.
GUGUGGCUCAGUUGGUAGAGUGCUUGCUUAGCAUGCAUGAAAUCCUGGGUUCAGUUUCCAGCAC